GACGAACGCUGGCGGCGUGCUUAACACAUGCAAGUCGAACGGAAAGGCCCUGCUUUUGUGGGGUGCUCGAGUGGCGAACGGGUGAGUAACACGUGAGUAACCUGCCCUUGACUUUGGGAUAACUUCAGGAAACUGGGUCUAAUACCGGCUAGGAGCUCUCGCUGCAUGGUGGGGGUGGGAAAGUUUCGGCGGUUGGGGAUGGACUCGCGGCUUAUCAGCUUGUUGGUGGGGUAGUGGCUUACCAAGGCUUUGACGGGUAGCCGGCCUGAGAGGGUGACCGGCCACAUUGGGACUGAGAUACGGCCCAGACUCCUACGGGAGGCAGCAGUGGGGAAUAUUGCACAAUGGGCGGAAGCCUGAUGCAGCAACGCCGCGUGCGGGAUGACGGCCUUCGGGUUGUAAACCGCUUUCGCCUGUGACGAAGCGUGAGUGACGGUAAUGGGUAAAGAAGCACCGGCUAACUACGUG
This 468-nucleotide ribosomal RNA is filed under the name uncultured bacterium. RNAcentral describes it as "partial 16S ribosomal RNA". It matches the Rfam family "Bacterial small subunit ribosomal RNA", at positions 28 to 507 of the family's 1533-position model. The record is from RNAcentral.